UACGGAGGGGGCUAGCGUUGUUCGGAAUUACUGGGCGUAAAGCGCACGUAGGCGGCUUUGUAAGUUAGAGGUGAAAGCCCGGGGCUCAACUCCGGAAUUGCCUUUAAAACUGCAUCGCUAGAGUUGUGGAGAGGUAAGUGGAAUUCCGAGUGUAGAGGUGAAAUUCGUAGAUAUUCGGAAGAACACCAGUGGCGAAGGCGGCUUACUGGACAAAUAUUGACGCUGAGGUGCGAAAGCGUGGGGAGCAAACAGG
RNAcentral lists this ribosomal RNA (253 nucleotides) under uncultured bacterium. RNAcentral's name for it is "partial 16S ribosomal RNA". It matches the Rfam family "Bacterial small subunit ribosomal RNA", at positions 524 to 776 of the family's 1533-position model. The record is from RNAcentral.